UAACACAUGCAAGUCGAACGGAAACGAAACUAGCUUGCUAGUAGGCGUCGAGUGGCGGACGGGUGAGUAACGCGUAGGAAUCUGCCUGAUAGUGGGGGAUAGCCCGAAGAAAUUCGGAUUAAUACCGCAUAAUCUAUUCGUAGUAAAGUGGGGGACUUUCGAGCCUCACGCUAUCAGAUGAGCCUGCGUAAGAUUAGCUUGUUGGUAGGGUAAAAGCCUACCAAGGCAACGAUCUUUAGCUGGUCUGAGAGGAUGAUCAGCCACAUCGGGACUGAGACACGGCCCGAACUCCUACGGGAGGCAGCAGUGGGGAAUAUUGGACAAUGGGGGCAACCCUGAUCCAGCAAUACCGCGUGUGUGAAGAAGGCCCGAGGGUUGUAAAGCACUUUCAAUUGUGAAGAAAAGUUAGCGGUUAAUAACCGUUGACCUUGACGUUAACUAUAGAAGAAGCACCGGCUAACUCCGUGCCAGCAGCCGCGGUAAUACGGAGGGUGCAAGCGUUAAUCGGAAUUACUGGGCGUAAAGCGUGCGUAGGCGGUUUAUUAAGUCAGAUGUGAAAGCCCCGGGCUUAACCUGGGAACUGCAUUUGAAACUGGUCAACUAGAGUAUGGUAGAGGAAAGUGGAAUUUCUGGUGUAGCGGUGAAAUGCGUAGAUAUCAGAAGGAACAUCAAUGGCGAAGGCAGCUUUCUGGACCAAUACUGACGCUGAGGUACGAAAGCGUGGGUAGCAAACAGGAUUAGAUACCCUGGUAGUCCACGCCGUAAACGAUGAUAACUAGCCGUUGGGGGGAUUUACCCCUUAGUGGCGAAGCUAACGCGUUAAGUUAUCCGCCUGGGGAGUACGGCCGCAAGGCUAAAACUCAAAGGAAUUGACGGGGACCCGCACAAGCGGUGGAGCAUGUGGUUUAUUCGAUGCAACGCGAAGAACCUUACCUGGUCUUGACAUCCUGCGAACUUUCUAGAAAUAGAUUGGUGCCUUCGGGAACGCAGUGACAGGUGCUGCAUGGCUGUCGUCAGCUCGUGUCGUGAGAUGUUGGGUUAAGACCCGUAACGAGCGCAACCCCUAUCCUUAUUUGCCAGCACAUUAUGGUGGGAACUAUAAGGAGACUGCCGGUGAUAAACCGGAGGAAGGCGGGGACGACGUCAAGUCAUCAUGGCCCUUACGACCAGGGCUACACACGUGCUACAAUGGGAAGGACAAAGAGCCGCGAAGCCGCGAGGUGUAGCUAAUCUCAUAAAUCUUUUCGUAGUCCGGAUUGGAGUCUGCAACUCGACUCCAUGAAGUCGGAAUCGCUAGUAAUCGUAGAUCAGAAUGCUACGGUGAAUACGUUCCCGGGUCUUGUACACACCGCCCGUCAUACCAUGGGAGUGGGUUGCACCAGAAGUGGCUAGUCUAACUUUGUGAGGACGGUCACCACGGUGUGAUUCAUGACUGGGGUA
This 1440-nucleotide ribosomal RNA is filed under the name uncultured bacterium. RNAcentral describes it as "bacterial SSU rRNA". It matches the Rfam family "Bacterial small subunit ribosomal RNA". The record is from RNAcentral.